GACCUCGGAUCAGGUAGGGAUACCCGCUGAACUUAAGCAUAUCAAUAAGCGGAAGAAA
This 58-nucleotide ribosomal RNA is filed under the name Alternaria sp. Ap. RNAcentral's name for it is "partial 28S ribosomal RNA". The record is from RNAcentral. Lineage: Eukaryota; Fungi; Ascomycota; Dothideomycetes; Pleosporales; Pleosporaceae.